Long non-coding RNA from Girardinichthys multiradiatus, 1048 nucleotides. RefSeq lists it as uncharacterized. The transcript has 6 exons. NCBI's taxonomy places the organism in Eukaryota, Metazoa, Chordata, Actinopteri, Cyprinodontiformes, Goodeidae. The record is from RefSeq and is a predicted model, not a curated record.
UUCUGCUUUUCUGUGUCCAUAUGUUAAUGAGGUGGAUGGUUCUAACAUUUGUCUUCAGCACCAUUGGUUAACUGAGAGAAUCAGACAGAAGCAAACGAUUUCUGCAUGGAUUCAUUCUCCUGUUCACCCUGUCGUCCACGGGGUGGCAGUGAAGCUCAUUUUUUGUUGGUUGCUGCCAAAGUUUACGGCGAAACUAAAGCAACAGCAGAAGAAUGGCUUUGAGCGGGACUCCACUGGCAGAGCUCUUGAAUGUGGCUGAGCAGCUAGAAAACGCACCAAGUGUGGUGAACUCUGUAAUUUCACCCCCACCACAGAUACCAACACACCCAGUGGAUGGUCCACUGAGGUUGUAAGACUGUUUGGCCCCGAUGCUCGUGGGAGAGGACCAGCAAGGAGGAGAUCUAUCAUUGUGUCUCCACAGCUGCACUCAAACACGCACAGGUUUAGCUGUCUGGAGGACAAACAUAUGGAGUUAGUCUCUAAUCGGUCUGUGAAGCAGCAGGGUUGGGGAAAAGCGUCUCACCUUUCAAGGAAGUCAUACAAGUCCAGAAGAGUUUAAAGCCUUCAUAUUAUCCUCAUUCCCAAAACUCAGAGACGGUGGUGGAUUUGAGCUCCUUCAGAUAGCUGCAGUACUCGGAGUCGGCAGCAGCUGAUGGUGAUCCAUGUCCAAACCAUGGCUACACUGUUCAAUAUUUAAACAAUCCCCAAAGUCAGAUCGGGGAUGCUACCAUUUUCAUCAGGCCACUCCAGAGGAACCUUAAUCCCAAUCCUGUAAAUUCGUCACUUUAUCUCAAACAGAGAGCAACACUGAACUACUUGGGCCAUUGGAGAAAUGUGUGCUCUGUGGGGAGGAGGUCCCUUUUUCCACCAUAAAAAAUCACAGCGAUGAAUGCACAAGACUGUUGCAGAGCAGUGAUGAGGUACGAAUGGCGGUAACCGAAGAAGAUUCCCACCCACAGGACGUCAGACAGCAAGGCCCAUCAACACUAGAGAUACCUCAGGGACCUGCUGCUGCUCCAGAGAUUGUUGAUCUAGUUUCCAUUGAAGA